Molecule: ribosomal RNA, 497 nt
Filed under: uncultured bacterium
Lineage: Bacteria
Description: partial 16S ribosomal RNA
Rfam family: Bacterial small subunit ribosomal RNA
Source: RNAcentral
GAUGAACGCUGGCGGCGUGCCUAAUACAUGCAAGUCGAGCGAACAGACGAGGAGCUUGCUCCUCUGACGUUAGCGGCGGACGGGUGAGUAACACGUGGAUAACCUACCUAUAAGACUGGGAUAACUUCGGGAAACCGGAGCUUAUACCGGAUAAUAUAUUGAACCGCAUGGUUCAAUAGUGAAAGACGGUUUUGCUGUCACUUAUAGAUGGAUCCGCGCCGCAUUAGCUAGUUGGUAAGGUAACGGCUUACCAAGGCAACGAUGCGUAGCCGACCUGAGAGGGUGAUCGGCCACACUGGAACUGAGACACGGUCCAGACUCCUACGGGAGGCAGCAGUAGGGAAUCUUCCGCAAUGGGCGAAAGCCUGACGGAGCAACGCCGCGUGAGUGAUGAAGGUCUUCGGAUCGUAAAACUCUGUUAUUAGGGAAGAACAAAUAUGUAAGUAACUAUGCACGUCUUGACGGUACCUAAUCAGAAAGCCACGGCUAACUACGUG